Molecule: long non-coding RNA, 439 nt
Organism: Heterocephalus glaber (naked mole-rat)
Lineage: Eukaryota; Metazoa; Chordata; Mammalia; Rodentia; Bathyergidae
Source: Ensembl
CUGUUUAAACUAGGGUUACUUUGACCGCUGGAAUACGGCACGUCUCAUGCAGAAGACAUGGGCACUGGUGGCAGCUUUCCACAGCGUUGUCUUAGACUGUAUGUGCUGGGGAAGCCAGGCACUGUGGAAAGGUCCAGAAGAAUGAAAGUCUCUACCAGAAGACAGCACCAACUUGCCAGCCAUUUUUUAUAAGAAGCAACACUACUCACUUGGUUCGCUGUCCCCGGGCGCACGUGAGGCCUGCCGCGCCUGGUCAGCACCCCCCGCCUCCUAUGCCCCAGGCGGGGCCAGGGACAGCCCAGGCUGUCCCCGCAGGAGGGUCGUCCUGUCCCGCUGGUGCGGAGCUGCGCUGUGAAGCGCCAGCCAUUCCCCGACGACCGGGACGAGAGGGCAGAGCCCGGCCACAGGUGACUCUCGACUCUCUGCCCGCCACCACGCA